UACGGAAGGCAGCAGUGGGGAAUAUUGCACAAUGGGCGCAAGCCUGAUGCAGCCAUGCCGCGUGUAUGAAGAAGGCCUUCGGGUUGUAAAGUACUUUCAGCGGGGAGGAAGGCGGUGAAGUUAAUAGCUUCACCGAUUGACGUUACCCGCAGAAGAAGCACCGGCUAACUCCGUGCCAGCAGCCGCGGUAAUACGGAGGGUGCAAGCGUUAAUCGGAAUUACUGGGCGUAAAGCGCACGCAGGCGGUCUGUCAAGUCGGAUGUGAAAUCCCCGGGCUUAACCUGGGAACUGCAUUCGAAACUGGCAGGCUAGAGUCUGUAGAGGGGGUAGAAUUCCAGGUGUAGCGGUGAAAUGCGUAGAGAUCUGGAGGAAUACCGGUGGCGAAGGCGGCCCCUGGGCAAAGCUGACGCUCAGGUGCGAAAGCGUGGGGAGCAAACAGGGAUUAGAUACCCGGU
RNAcentral lists this ribosomal RNA (455 nucleotides) under uncultured bacterium. Its description in RNAcentral is "bacterial SSU rRNA". It matches the Rfam family "Bacterial small subunit ribosomal RNA", at positions 340 to 791 of the family's 1533-position model. The record is from RNAcentral.